This 390-nucleotide ribosomal RNA is filed under the name uncultured bacterium. RNAcentral describes it as "bacterial SSU rRNA". It matches the Rfam family "Bacterial small subunit ribosomal RNA", at positions 28 to 415 of the family's 1533-position model. The record is from RNAcentral.
GAUGAACGCUAGCGGCAGGCUUAACACAUGCAAGUCGAGGGGUAUAGUUCUUCGGAAUUAGAGACCGGCGCACGGGUGCGUAACGCGUAUGCAAUCUACCUUUUGCAGAGGGAUAGCCCAGAGAAAUUUGGAUUAAUACCUCAUAGUAUAGUACUUUGGCAUCAAGGAACUAUUAAAGUCACAACGGCAAAGAUGAGCAUGCGUCCCAUUAGCUAGUUGGUAAGGUAACGGCUUACCAAGGCUACGAUGGGUAGGGGUCCGUGAGAGGGAGAUCCCCACCACUGGUACUGAGACACGGACCAGACUCCUACGGGAGGGCAGCAGUGAGGAAUAUUGGACGAAUGGGCGGCAAGACCUGAUCCAGCCACUGCCGCGUGCAGGAGUGACGGU